UGUGGCACUCUCUUCUGUGCUCAGUAACAAGGGGUGACACUCCCCUGGGGCCCUGCAAUCCCUAACCAGUCACCACAGAUCAACUCAGAAACGUAGAUGAGAUGGGCCUUCUGUGUGGACUUCCAAGGAUUUUGUCACCCAGAAAGCCCAGAUUGGGGCUACAAGGUACCAUUUGAAUUGCAAGAGCAUGACUUGAAGUCAUGAAGAGAGUGCUUGGUUUUGUUUUCCUCUUGGUAAAGCCUUUCAUUAGUGAAAUGAGAAAUGUCACUUCAUGCACCAUUGUAAAACUUUUGCCUCUGAAGACUGUAAAAAGCUAUGUGGAAAGUGUUCUUUUUCCACUGCCUGCUUUACUCCUCUUUUUGAGUGGAAGAACCACAAUGCUUGACCUGUGUUUCUUCUUGAAGAGAGAAGUAAGAAGGAGCUCAGUUUCCUAUUGGAUUUGGAAAACAGAUGACAAUCUCAGGAUCUUCAUGAGUUGUGAGCUGGUCUUGAUACUGAGGCAGGGCUGGUCUUCUGUAACAUGGAUAUCCAAGGAAAGACUGGCACCUACAUUUUUACCCCCCUGCUUGAUUUGAUUUCCUGAGCUUCUUAGGACUCAUAGUGGUUCAUAGUAUAGAUCCCAUCUAUUCCAUCCCCUCUUCCUCUGCUCCCCUGGCAGAUUUUCUCAGGUUUUAAGUUCAGAACCCCCUCCCAGGUUUUCACCACAAGUAGCAGGUUCUGGUACUGCUGCUUUAUCAAGUGCUUAGCUGUUGGCAGUAGCUGGCUAGGAGACAAGUUCAAUGAGUUAACUUCUCUGUGCUCUAAACAGUGGUAUCAGCUCAACGUGACUUUUGUAUUUUCCCCGUGGACCAAUCAGCUAAUGUGCAGCAGCACAAUAUGUAUCUUCAAAAAGUGAGGACAUUAAAUAGUUCACUUGGACAGCUUAUAAGCAAUAUUUAACCCAGAGUAGUUUUGAUAAAACUGCUCAGCUUUGGGAUUGUGAUUGUAGCUAUAUGAAUGCUUAAAAUUAUAAUUAAAGAUUUUGAAGCAGUUUUGAGUUCACUGAGCCCUCCCUCUUUUGAUUCUCUUGAUUAACCAGUGAUUUACACAUAUAUAAUGACUUUAACUGACUUAGGGGGUAAUUUAUGUCACAAUGUGCAUGAUAUAUGGAUCUAAAUAGACUAAAGAGAGGGGAAAAGGAACCAUCUGUUCUCUAGAAAAUUGUCUGCUGUCAGAGGGGCUCAAGAACUGUUUGAAAAAUGUGUUUAGAAAGCCAUUAGUAAAUUUCCUAAUUUUUUUGUGCUUUCUGGAUGGCAUUCUCAUUGGGUACAUAUUGCCCAGAAAAAAAGGGUAGGAACUCGAAUUUUUUAACUUCAGCUAUGUAAGUUUUAUUAGAUCUUUCAAAAUAUCUAUUACUUUCAUUAAUGUAUAUAGUGAAUUUUGUCCUAAUCUUCCCAGUGCUCAUGCAAUAUUGUUUAUGCAGCUACAGGAUAGAUAUGGAGAUCCCAACACCCCAAGGUCCAAGUUCAAACAUGAAAAUGAGAGUGACAUUUCUUGGGAGCAGCAGGGUUAUAUUUAGGACAAGUGUUUAAAAGC
Long non-coding RNA from Parus major (Great Tit), 1575 nucleotides. NCBI's taxonomy places the organism in Eukaryota, Metazoa, Chordata, Aves, Passeriformes, Paridae. The record is from Ensembl.